UAUGCUGGCUGGAGAAUUCUGGGAGUUGAAGUCCUUCUUAAAGUUGUCAAGUUUGGGGACCCCCGAUAGCAGGUGCGCUGAGUUUAGGAUUCGGGAGAGAUCAGAAUCUGUAGCAGCGUCUCUCAAUCUAAGAAUUGGGUGGAUUUCAACUCCCAGAAUUCCCCAGCUGAAGAUCAUUGGGCUGAGUUGACGUCCGUGCAGUUUGAAGGCUCUGAGAUUGAGAAAUACUGAUUGGGGUUAUUUGAGUCAAACACCGUUCGCUUAAAGCUGGCUGCCAUGCCCAUGUGCGAACUCUGCCAGGUUGCCUCUUCCUCUGACUUCGACGGAUUUCUCUGCUUCCAAAAACUCGAAGUGAAAACAAAAGCAAGAAAAGGGAUAUCAGAGGGAACAGCAACCAUCAACCUAUAAUUUAAAAUUUGCUAACUAAUGAGAAAGAUAUCAGUUUCAUCCAAUAUUGCUCUCCUGAAGUUCUUCUGGAUAGCAGUUAUCAAUUUAAAAUAGUUUGGUCAGUGUUUUAAAUGCAGCUCAAGCCUUAAAUGUUAGAUUAAGAGAUGGAAGGGGCCUUAUAGGUAAUCUAGUCCAACCCCGCCCCCGCUCAAGCAGGAGACCCUACACCAUUUCUGACAAAGGCAGUCCAAUC
Thamnophis elegans (Western terrestrial garter snake) is the source of this 640-nucleotide long non-coding RNA. RefSeq lists it as uncharacterized. The transcript has 3 exons. The record is from RefSeq and is a predicted model, not a curated record. NCBI's taxonomy places the organism in Eukaryota, Metazoa, Chordata, Lepidosauria, Squamata, Natricidae.